GAAGCUACUGGACAGUCAGUUGUCUAAACUGGUAUAGGGUCUCCUGCUCAAACGGGAUUGGACUAGAUGAUCUCUCGGGUCCCUUCCGACUCUGUUAUUCUUUUUUUCAUUCCUCAGCUCUCCCCUAAAUGAGCAAGCUUGAAACUUUUGACCUUUAAGCAGUUAAAGAGUCUUGCUGUACCAGCCCAGGAACAAUCGAAAAUCACUUUGCACAAAUUAAGCAGGCAGCACAAGAGAAGACACAACUCUUUGUUUUGAUUAAGGUCAACAGGACUCAUCAAGGAGGCAGAAACGUCCUUCACUUAGUUAUUUUAGUGCAGAAAGAAAGAAAAAGAAAGAAGGGAGAGAGGAAGAAAGAAAGAAACAGAAAAAGGAAGAGAGAAAGGAAAGAAAGAAAAGAAAAAGAAAGAAAGAAAGAAA
Molecule: long non-coding RNA, 420 nt
Organism: Crotalus tigris (Tiger rattlesnake)
Lineage: Eukaryota; Metazoa; Chordata; Lepidosauria; Squamata; Viperidae
Exons: 2
Source: RefSeq, a predicted model, not a curated record